This 2935-nucleotide ribosomal RNA is filed under the name Serratia marcescens. Its description in RNAcentral is "23S ribosomal RNA". It matches the Rfam family "Bacterial large subunit ribosomal RNA". Lineage: Bacteria; Pseudomonadati; Pseudomonadota; Gammaproteobacteria; Enterobacterales; Yersiniaceae. The record is from RNAcentral.
GGGUUGUGAGGUUAAGUGACUAAGCGUACACGGUGGAUGCCUAGGCAGUCAGAGGCGAUGAAGGGCGUGCUAAUCUGCGAAAAGCGUCGGUAAGGUGAUAUGAACCGUUAUAACCGGCGAUACCCGAAUGGGGAAACCCAGUGUGUUUCGACACACUAUCAUGUCAUGAAUACAUAGUGGCAUGAGGCGAACCGGGGGAACUGAAACAUCUAAGUACCCCGAGGAAAAGAAAUCAACCGAGAUUCCCCCAGUAGCGGCGAGCGAACGGGGAGAAGCCCAGAACCUGAAUCGGCUUGUGUGUUAGUGGAAGCGUCUGGAAAGUCGCGCAGCAAAGGGUGAUAGCCCCGUACACUAAAAUGCACAGGUCGUGAGUUCGAUGAGUAGGGCGGGACACGUGACAUCCUGUCUGAAUAUGGGGGGACCAUCCUCCAAGGCUAAAUACUCCUGACUGACCGAUAGUGAACCAGUACCGUGAGGGAAAGGCGAAAAGAACCCCGGCGAGGGGAGUGAAAUAGAACCUGAAACCGUGUACGUACAAGCAGUGGGAGCACCUUCGUGGUGUGACUGCGUACCUUUUGUAUAAUGGGUCAGCGACUUAUAUUUUGUAGCAAGGUUAACCGUAUAGGGGAGCCGUAGGGAAACCGAGUCUUAACUGGGCGAAUAGUUGCAAGGUAUAGACCCGAAACCCGGUGAUCUAGCCAUGGGCAGGUUGAAGGUUGGGUAACACUAACUGGAGGACCGAACCGACUAAUGUUGAAAAAUUAGCGGAUGACUUGUGGCUGGGGGUGAAAGGCCAAUCAAACCGGGAGAUAGCUGGUUCUCCCCGAAAGCUAUUUAGGUAGCGCCUCGUGAACUCAUCUUCGGGGGUAGAGCACUGUUUCGGCUAGGGGGCCAUCCCGGCUUACCAAACCGAUGCAAACUCCGAAUACCGAAGAAUGUUAUCACGGGAGACACACGGCGGGUGCUAACGUCCGUCGUGAAGAGGGAAACAACCCAGACCGCCAGCUAAGGUCCCAAAGUCAUGGUUAAGUGGGAAACGAUGUGGGAAGGCAUAGACAGCCAGGAUGUUGGCUUAGAAGCAGCCAUCAUUUAAAGAAAGCGUAAUAGCUCACUGGUCGAGUCGGCCUGCGCGGAAGAUGUAACGGGGCUAAACCAUGCACCGAAGCUGCGGCAGCGACGCUUAGGCGUUGUUGGGUAGGGGAGCGUUCUGUAAGCCGUUGAAGGUGGCCUGUGAGGGUUGCUGGAGGUAUCAGAAGUGCGAAUGCUGACAUAAGUAACGAUAAAGCGGGUGAAAAGCCCGCUCGCCGGAAGACCAAGGGUUCCUGUCCAACGUUAAUCGGGGCAGGGUGAGUCGACCCCUAAGGCGAGGCUGAAAAGCGUAGUCGAUGGGAAACAGGUUAAUAUUCCUGUACUUGGUGUUAUUGCGAAGGGGGGACGGAGAAGGCUAGGCUAGCCGGGCGACGGUUGUCCCGGUUUAAGCGUGUAGGGGGUGUGACCUGGUAAAUCCGGUUACAUACUAACCCUGAGGCGUGAUGACGAUGCACUACGGUGCAGAAGUAGUUGAUGCCCUGCUUCCAGGAAAAGCCUCUAAGCUCUAGGUAACAUUAAAUCGUACCCCAAACCGACACAGGUGGUCAGGUAGAGAAUACCAAGGCGCUUGAGAGAACUCGGGUGAAGGAACUAGGCAAAAUGGUGCCGUAACUUCGGGAGAAGGCACGCUGGCAUGUAGGUGAAGUCCCUUGCGGAUGGAGCUGAAGCCAGUCGAAGAUACCAGCUGGCUGCAACUGUUUAAUAAAAACACAGCACUGUGCAAACACGAAAGUGGACGUAUACGGUGUGACGCCUGCCCGGUGCUGGAAGGUUAAUUGAUGGGGUCAGCCGCAAGGCGAAGCUCUUGAUCGAAGCCCCAGUAAACGGCGGCCGUAACUAUAACGGUCCUAAGGUAGCGAAAUUCCUUGUCGGGUAAGUUCCGACCUGCACGAAUGGCGUAAUGAUGGCCAGGCUGUCUCCACCCGAGACUCAGUGAAAUUGAACUCGCUGUGAAGAUGCAGUGUACCCGCGGCAAGACGGAAAGACCCCGUGAACCUUUACUAUAGCUUGACACUGAACAUUGAGCCUUGAUGUGUAGGAUAGGUGGGAGGCUUUGAAGCGUGGACGCCAGUCUGCGUGGAGCCAUCCUUGAAAUACCACCCUUUAAUGUUUGAUGUUCUAACUCGGCCCCAUAAUCUGGGGUGAGGACAGUGUCUGGUGGGUAGUUUGACUGGGGCGGUCUCCUCCCAAAGAGUAACGGAGGAGCACGAAGGUUAGCUAAUCACGGUCGGACAUCGUGAGGUUAGUGCAAAGGCAUAAGCUAGCUUGACUGCGAGAGUGACGGCUCGAGCAGGUACGAAAGUAGGUCUUAGUGAUCCGGUGGUUCUGAAUGGAAGGGCCAUCGCUCAACGGAUAAAAGGUACUCCGGGGAUAACAGGCUGAUACCGCCCAAGAGUUCAUAUCGACGGCGGUGUUUGGCACCUCGAUGUCGGCUCAUCACAUCCUGGGGCUGAAGUAGGUCCCAAGGGUAUGGCUGUUCGCCAUUUAAAGUGGUACGCGAGCUGGGUUUAGAACGUCGUGAGACAGUUCGGUCCCUAUCUGCCGUGGGCGUUGGAAGAUUGAGAGGGGUUGCUCCUAGUACGAGAGGACCGGAGUGAACGCACCACUGGUGUUCGGGUUGUCAUGCCAAUGGCAUUGCCCGGUAGCUAAGUGCGGAAAAGAUAAGCGCUGAAAGCAUCUAAGCGCGAAACUUGCCUCAAGAUGAGUCUUCCCUGGGCCUUUAAGGCCCCUGAAGGAACGUUUAAGACUAAGACGUUGAUAGGCUGGGUGUGUAAGUGCAGCGAUGCAUUGAGCUAACCAGUACUAAUGAUCCGUGAGGCUUAACCUUACAACACCGAAGGUGUUU